GAGGCUGUCUUGCCCAGCCAUUCCACCAAGCUUAACAUCUCCAUUUACUUUACAAGCAUUUAGCAUCGUUUGCCAAACCAAAGAACGAGGAUCAAACAGCAUGCUUUCAAUCAAAUACUAUGUCAACCAUGCAAGUCCGGGCGACGCCAUGGGCAGCCUUUCUGGGCAGCAGGGAUGGAUGCAUCUCUUACAAGCAUUUCAUCGAAUAGGUGGAUGCAGGCCAAAUUCCCUUCAACUUCUCUUUUCCACCCACCGCCCUCGGUUCCCGGUACGAAAUAAUUCGUGGGAAGGGAUACGAAGUCGGGUGGGAGGCCUGCUUUCAAUCGAAACACUUGAUGCAGUCUAUAUAUUUGAGCUCGGUCUCAAAUAAAGAGUGGCGUUGGAAGGCACCUGCCGGCUGAAGGGACCAUGCAUAUAUACUUCUCUAGAAAGCCUUGGCCUUCACUCAAGGAGUGCAAGUAGAUCAAGCAGAUCUGGGUCUGACCCGAAAUAAAAACCAAAUCAGACCUUCCCAAUAGGAAAGCUAAGACCCAAUGAGUUAGGCAUGAGUCCAAUGUAUCAUCCCACUUUCGAUCGUAACAUUAACCUAACCAUCGAGUCCUUGCUCGAAUCGUAUUAUCUCUCACCCUUUGAGCAAGAGGUUAGAGGUUCAAUUCUGCAUGCUCGCCCUUGAUUCGGCCCUCAACUAACAUAUGAAUUCCCGACAUUUGGCUCAAAGGACCUAGGUUCCAACCUACAUGGGCUGAGAUGGAAUGAAGUAUCAAGUGGAUUAGAGGCCUUUUUUUGCAAUAUAAAAAGAAUACACGCAUGCAUAUAUAUACAUGUUUUACUCAUACAUACACAUUUCUCUAUUAUAUAUUCUUUAUGCACACAUACGUUGUGUGUGUCUAUGGGCAUGUGCAUAGGCGUGCAUGUAU
RNAcentral lists this long non-coding RNA (917 nucleotides) under Phoenix dactylifera (date palm). Its description in RNAcentral is "long non-coding RNA (PDAC_LNC017013)". The record is from RNAcentral. Lineage: Eukaryota; Viridiplantae; Streptophyta; Magnoliopsida; Arecales; Arecaceae.